This 497-nucleotide ribosomal RNA is filed under the name uncultured bacterium. RNAcentral's name for it is "partial 16S ribosomal RNA". It matches the Rfam family "Bacterial small subunit ribosomal RNA", at positions 28 to 507 of the family's 1533-position model. The record is from RNAcentral.
GAUGAACGCUGGCGGCGUGCCUAAUACAUGCAAGUCGAGCGAACGGACGAGAAGCUUGCUUUUCUGAUGUUAGCGGCGGACGGGUGAGUAACACGUGGAUAACCUACCUAUAAGACUGGGAUAACUUCGGGAAACCGGAGCUAAUACCGGAUAAUAUUUUGAACCGCAUGGUUCAAAAGUGAAAGACGGUCUUGCUGUCACUUAUAGAUGGAUCCGCGCUGCAUUAGCUAGUUGGUAAGGUAACGGCUUACCAAGGCAACGAUGCAUAGCCGACCUGAGAGAGUGAUCGGCCACACUGGAACUGAGACACGGUCCAGACUCCGACGGGAGGCAGCAGUAGGGAAUCUUCCGCAAUGGGCGAAAGCCUGACGGAGCAACGCCGCGUGAGUGAUGAAGGUCUUCGGAUCGUAAAACUCUGUUAUUAGGGAAGAACAUAUGUGUAAGUAACUGUGCACAUCUUGACGGUACCUAAUCAGAAAGCCACGGCUAACUACGUG